Molecule: long non-coding RNA, 308 nt
Filed under: Gossypium raimondii (Peruvian cotton)
Lineage: Eukaryota; Viridiplantae; Streptophyta; Magnoliopsida; Malvales; Malvaceae
Description: long non-coding RNA (GRAI_LNC000403)
Source: RNAcentral
CCUUCACCUCUGUGCGUAUUGCCUAAAAAUUUCAUCGGGCUUCUUUUCGAUGUUUUGUAGAGUGAUUCUAUUAGGUACCAUGUCAGUUACAUGAUUGUACUACUUUAUGAAUGCCUGUGCUAAAUCUCUCCAUGAAUUAAUCUUGGUACGACUCAAUUGAUUGUACCACUUGGACGCUGCCCUUGUGAGGCUAUCCUGGAAACAAUGUAUCAGCAACUGGUCAUUAGUAACAUACCCAGUCAUCCUCCUACAAAACAUAGUAAUAUGGGCUUCGGGACUACUAGUUCCAUUAUACUUCUCAAACUCGG